Non-coding RNA from Gossypium hirsutum (cotton), 131 nucleotides. The record is from Rfam. NCBI's taxonomy places the organism in Eukaryota, Viridiplantae, Streptophyta, Magnoliopsida, Malvales, Malvaceae.
UGUUAAAAACUUCAUUCAUUUCUACUGUUAAAAAAUGGCGUAGCUUAUAAAAUAACCAGAUAGCCACAUGUAUCUUAUGCUGAUGCAUAAAGACCAGCUUUUAAUAGUAGAAAUAAAUGAAUUUUUUAACA